Molecule: ribosomal RNA, 253 nt
Filed under: uncultured bacterium
Lineage: Bacteria
Description: partial 16S ribosomal RNA
Rfam family: Bacterial small subunit ribosomal RNA
Source: RNAcentral
UACAGAGGGAGCAAGCGUUGUUCGGAAUUACUGGGCGUAAAGGGCGCGUAGGCGGUUCGAUAAGUCCCGUGUGAAAUCCCUCGGCUCAACUGAGGAACUGCACGGGAAACUGACGGGCUUGAGUUCGGGAGAGGGAAGCGGAAUUCCGGGUGUAGCGGUGAAAUGCGUAGAUAUCCGGAGGAACACCGGUGGCGAAAGCGGCUCACUGGACCACAACUGACGCUGAUGCACGAAAGCUAGGGGAGCAAACAGG